Molecule: ribosomal RNA, 205 nt
Filed under: Leptocylindrus danicus
Lineage: Eukaryota; Bacillariophyta; Leptocylindrophyceae; Leptocylindrales; Leptocylindraceae
Description: partial Eukaryotic large subunit ribosomal RNA
Rfam family: Eukaryotic large subunit ribosomal RNA
Source: RNAcentral
GUAACAACUCACCUGCCGAAUGAAUCAGCCUUGAAAAUGGAUGGCGCUCAAGCGAUACACCCAUACUCAACCGUUCACGUUGAUUUAUGUUGCGUGAACGAGUAGGCAGGCGUAAAGGUUUUGUGAUAAAGCCUAGGCAGUGAUGCCGGGUAGAACAGCCUUUAGUGCAGAUCUUGGUGGAAGUAGCAAAUAUUCAAGUGAGAAC